Nicotiana tabacum (common tobacco) is the source of this 107-nucleotide non-coding RNA. NCBI's taxonomy places the organism in Eukaryota, Viridiplantae, Streptophyta, Magnoliopsida, Solanales, Solanaceae. The record is from Rfam.
AUUCUGCUAUGUUGACACUUUCGAACUAAUUCCUUAAACCUCUCCCAAGCUUCAAAUGCAGUUUCAGUAUCUUUUUGGCAGAAGUUAUGGAUUUCUCUUCUAAACUU